UCACAAAAUGGGAUUCGGUUUGAUGAAUGCUGAGGCUAUGGUUAAGAAGGCAAUAAAGUGGAAAACUGUCCCGGAACAACUAACUUGGCAAUCAAAAGUUAGCAGCCCAAACAUGACUUUAGAGGAAAGAUCAAAAGCCAAAAACAAAAUUGACGUUUCCCGUGGCGAUUGUCCAAUCCGGCAUUUAGAACAUGUAAUGGCUACAGUGAGCUUUAAUUACUCAUGUUGUAGAGGAGCAGUUGAGGUAUAUCUGGUGUCUCCCAGUAGGACCAAAGUAGUUCUGCUUCCAAAAAGAUACAACGACGCGUACUUCACAUACACUCAAUCAGGCACCUUUACUUGGACUUACAAAGUUGUUCAUUUAUGGGGAGAAAAUCCUAUAGGAAAGUGGAAAGUUUUACUUAAGUUAGACAACAUGAUAGCCAGUGCGGAACUAAAGGAGUGGUAUCUUACUCUCUAUGGAACAUCAUCAAAUCCAAUGAAAGGAUAAAAAACCUGUCAAUCAAGGUAUAUUUGUCAACUGAAUUUCACAGUGGGCCCAUCGUCAAAUGAAUAGACAUUACUUUAAUAUUUAUAUAAAAAAAACACAUUUGUCAUAGGAUUUCCAGAUUAAUAAAAUUUUGUUAUUUA
Molecule: long non-coding RNA, 630 nt
Organism: Mytilus californianus (California mussel)
Lineage: Eukaryota; Metazoa; Mollusca; Bivalvia; Mytilida; Mytilidae
Exons: 4
Source: RefSeq, a predicted model, not a curated record